Molecule: ribosomal RNA, 899 nt
Filed under: Flavobacterium beibuense
Lineage: Bacteria; Pseudomonadati; Bacteroidota; Flavobacteriia; Flavobacteriales; Flavobacteriaceae
Description: bacterial SSU rRNA
Rfam family: Bacterial small subunit ribosomal RNA
Source: RNAcentral
GCAAGUCGAGGGGUAGAAAUAGCUUGCUAUUUUGAGACCGGCGCACGGGUGCGUAACGCGUAUGCAAUCUGCCUUGUACUGGGGGAUAGCCCGGAGAAAUCCGGAUUAAUACCCCAUAGUAUAUAAGAGUGGCAUCAUUUUUAUAUUAAAGAAUUUCGGUACAAGAUGAGCAUGCGUCCCAUUAGCUAGUUGGUAUGGUAACGGCAUACCAAGGCUUUGAUGGGUAGGGGUCCUGAGAGGGAGAUCCCCCACACUGGUACUGAGACACGGACCAGACUCCUACGGGAGGCAGCAGUGAGGAAUAUUGGUCAAUGGACGCAAGUCUGAACCAGCCAUGCCGCGUGCAGGAUGACGGUCCUAUGGAUUGUAAACUGCUUUUGUACGGGAAGAAACGACUCUACGUGUAGGGUUUUGACGGUACCGUAAGAAUAAGGAUCGGCUAACUCCGUGCCAGCAGCCGCGGUAAUACGGAGGAUCCAAGCGUUAUCCGGAAUCAUUGGGUUUAAAGGGUCCGUAGGCGGUUUUAUAAGUCAGUGGUGAAAUCCGGCAGCUCAACUGUCGAACUGCCAUUGAUACUGUAGAACUUGAAUUAUUGUGAAGUAACUAGAAUAUGUAGUGUAGCGGUGAAAUGCUUAGAUAUUACAUGGAAUACCAAUUGCGAAGGCAGGUUACUAACAAUACAUUGACGCUGAUGGACGAAAGCGUGGGGAGCGAACAGGAUUAGAUACCCUGGUAGUCCACGCCGUAAACGAUGGAUACUAGCUGUUCGGAAGCAAUUCUGAGUGGCUAAGCGAAAGUGAUAAGUAUCCCACCUGGGGAGUACGAACGCAAGUUUGAAACUCAAAGGAAUUGACGGGGGCCCGCACAAGCGGUGGAGCAUGUGGUUUAAUUCGAUGAUA